AAAUUCGUCCGGUUUCUGUCGUCUUUGUCCCCGAGUCCUCCGACGCUAAAACCCUUCCCUAACCAGCUAAACCUUCCCUCUCUCUGUCCGCCGCCGCCGCCACCGGCACUGCCGCCGUAUCUGUCGGCCGGAAACUCUCUCUCGGAAUUCUGAGUACUCUGGGCUUUGAGGCUUUUCUCUCUCCUUUGUUAGAAAAACUGAUUCCCAAGAACCCCUGAGCAAUCCCUGGAAGGGAGAAUCUGUAGAUUACGACCGUUGAAUCUAUGGCCGAAGCAAGCGACCCGGGCUUGGAUGCCCUUCACAAGCUUAAGUCAACUGACCCUCCAGUGUUUUUAGCGCCGAGUUGUAUAUGUGAGGUGGCUCGGGAUGCGUCUCAGUACCUCUUCUCCAAACUGAAGGAAUACACCCCAAAAUCCCCUUUCGAUCAGCUCCUGGUUGAUGGGUUUGAUGCUGAGCAGGUCUGGCAGCAGAUUGAUAUGCAGUCUCAACCUUUACUGUCGAGCCUGCGGAAAGAGGUGAAGAAGUUCGAGAAAAAUCCUCAAGAAAUAAGCAAUCUCGGGAGUUUGGCAGAAGCGAAGAGCCUUAAGCUUCCGUGUGCAGAUGAUGCCAAAGACAUGGAGAUGGAUGGUUUUGGAACAGAUGAUGAUGAUGAAGAUGAUGAACUGGAAGAAGAGAACAAUGGAGGGACAGAAGAGAGAUUGAAAGGAGGAAGUGAAAGCGAAGGGGGAGAGGAAGAAGAUGAAGAUGAUAGAGAAGAGGACGAGGAGGAUGGAGAAGAGAAAGAAGAUGAGGAAAAGGAAAAGGAUGGAGAAAAUAGAGGAAUAGAGGAUGGGUUCUUCAGUAUAAAACAGUUGCAAGAAUUUUUAGAGGAGGGUGAAACCGAGGAGCUUGGGCUGGACAACAAGAACAGGAAGGGAAUGGCAAAGGGAAAGAAACACAAUGUUGAUGAUGUUGAUGAUGAUGAUGAUGAAGAUGAAGAGGACAAUGAAGAUGACAAAGACGAAGAAGAUGAAGACGAUGAUGAGGAUGAAGAAGAGGACAAGGAGUUCGGAGCUUUUGGUGAUGAAGAUGAAGGUGAAGAAGCAGCUAAAUUGGAAAAUGCAAAAUAUGAAGAUUUCUUUGGUGGUAAAAAGAAGGGGACUAAAAGGAAGUCUGAGGAUUCAAGUGAAGAACAGGAUACUGAUGGAAUUGGUAAUCAGGGAAAAGAGGAGCUGUCUACUCAUGAAAAAGAACUCCUAAAGCUUCAGUCUAAGAUCAAACAGAUGGAGAAAUCAAACUUAGAUCCAAAACAUUGGACAAUGCAAGGAGAGGUAACUGCUGCAAAAAGACCGAAGAACAGUGCCCUUGAAGUCGAUUUGGAUUUUGAGCACAAUGUUAGGCCGGCUCCUAUUAUUACAGAAGAAGUCACGGCAUCACUUGAAGAAUUGAUCAAGAACAGAAUCAUUGAGGGACGGUUUGAUGAUGUUCAAAACCCUCUAAGUUUGCCCACAAAAGCACCAAGAGAAGUCAAGGAAUUGGAUGAUAAUAAGAGCAAGAAGGGUCUUGCAGAAGUGUACGAGGAAGAAUACGUCCAGAAGGCUAAUCCAGCAUUUGCUCCAACAUCACAUUCAGAUGAACUGAAGAAAGAGGCGGGCAUGCUAUUCAAGAAACUAUGCCUGAAGUUGGAUGCUCUUUCUCACUUCCACUUCACACCGAAACCUGUGAUCGAAGACAUGUCUAUCCAGGUGAACGUCCCUGCCAUUGCAAUGGAAGAGGUUGCACCUGUGGCAGUCUCAGAUGCAGCAUUGCUUGCUCCAGAGGAAAUAUUCUCGGGCAAAGGUGACAUCAAGGAAGAGUCUGAACUUACAAAAGAAGAGAGAAAGAGGAGGAGAGCCAAGAAGAAAAGAAAGUUCAAGGCUAAUUCUGCAAAAAGGACAGUGAAGAACCCGCAGGACAUCGCAACCCAGAUCUCAAAAACUGGCAGCGAAGACUAAUGAUGGAGUGGAGAGAGAGAGUUCAGACAUGAAGCUUCAAGUUUAAGAGAAUUGUCUCCACUGAAGAUUUUACAAAGUUUUGCCGACGAUUCAUGGGAAAAAAUCAUAUUAAAUUCUAAGAACUGCGUGUUAGAAUACAACUGAAAUAUGUUUAUUUAAUGCUUAAAACUAUAUGUUUGUUUUUUUUAUAUUCACACAAAAAAUCUGAAUGGACCGACGAUAUGGGUCGUAUAAAUUAUGGGAAACGAACAAAGGAAACCCAAGUUUUCAUGAUCCGAUCCUCUCUUUUGACGGAGGUGAAAGAGCCAAAGAGGAGAUUCAAUUCGUUUGGACUCUCUCUCUCUCUCUCUCUCUCUCUCUCUCUCUCUCUGUGAGAAACUUCAAAUUCCGAGUUGGCGAAAAGUUUCCUGAUAUCAUAGUCGAGUUCGUCAGACAGUCGCCGGAGAAGAAGACCAAGACGACAGCGACGACGACCUCAAGGAUGAUAACGGUCCCGUACCUCACCGAUGUUUGUACGUACUUCAGUGCUAUUCGCCUUUGGUCAGCUCCGAGAUUUCUUCCGCCACCUCUUCGGUUGGUGGCUCACCAACAAUCUCCCAGGCCCGUGUGCGUAUGUGUGUGUAUCUACGCAUGGAUUGUGGCGUUUGUAGCUCAUCGGUGUCUGCGCGUACGUGCGUAUGAGUGUACGUACAUGUCCUCUGUUUUUUCGCCGUAGGGGCACGCGCCGAUCUGUUUAGGACACGAAGAUUUCCACAUCAGGCGUUUGUAUCAUCAGAUUCAGGUAUCUCUUCAUCAAUUCCUCUCGUUCGCGUUGGACGACUCACGUGAGAGCUGUGAAGAUGUGAACACAAUACACAUUUUCUGCUAAAUUAUGAUUUUGAUUCUCAUCUAUGCUCUCUCUGCCAUCAGGAACUACAUCUAUACGCGCAGAACUCGAAGAAUGUGUCCCGAGGUUUGUCGGGAAGCCUGCGGCUGUUGCCUGCUAUGCAACAAACUCGGCUGCCAUCCCUGUUUUGAUUGGGAAGGGAGGGUUGAUCAUAGGAGAUCCUUUGAACCACAGUUGGAUGAUCAACGGCGCGCGAGGCUCAGGGGCCGCGAUCCGUGUUUUCUGAUGCAACAGUAAGCUUCUUGGGGACAACGAUUCGCCGAUAAUGCUAUACAACAACCCAGCAAAAACCCAAGCCUUCUCAAGGGAAUGCCUCGUACGAAAUGUAAGUAUCCCGGUUUCUCACUGUCAAACAUGUUUGAAAAAAGGGAAGGUUUGGAACGAAAACAGGCGGCAGUGGUGGUGGUGGGAUUCCCGGCAACACCAGCCCUCAAGGCGUGUAAUCUUUGCAAUUGAACCGAUGAUAUUCAGACACUGCUGCUUCCCUUUUCAGGGUUCAUCAUCAUGUCCUCCCCAACUCUUCUAUUCGGACACAGAGCAAAUUUAUAUGGACCCGACAUCUCCCCCUCUCGCAUCUGAGGAGGAAAUUAAUGUAUUUCCAGACCCAAGACAGAAACUUCUACUAAGUACUAACCCAAUGCUUCUAGUCCUCUCUUCUUCCUCUUCCUGUUCUUUUCUCACUACUACUACUACUAGACCUCUCUACUGUUUCUACCUUCAAACAAGAACAACCACCGCAAAAAAAAAAAAAA
Molecule: RNA transcript, 3611 nt
Organism: Tarenaya hassleriana
Lineage: Eukaryota; Viridiplantae; Streptophyta; Magnoliopsida; Brassicales; Cleomaceae
Gene name: U3 small nucleolar ribonucleoprotein protein MPP10
Exons: 15
Source: RefSeq, a predicted model, not a curated record